CUUGGCACCGUCUCCCGGCUGCAGCUGCUCGCGGGACUGCAGAGGAGGGGAGAGUCGGCGUCGGGCCGGGAGCACUGAAGGCGCAGCUGGGCCCUGAUUCAGGAGUCAGGAAGUUCUAAAAAAUUUCCACCACCUACAGCCAACCCAUACUUGAGGAGGAGGGGAUCGAGAAACAUACAAGAUGCAUUUGAGCAGUGUCAUUUUGUUUUGGGAGACUCCUGGCUGCUCUUGGAAUGUAGAAUGAGCCCAGAAAACCAAUCAAGAAGCUCAGAAGUACGUUUGGGGAAAAAAUUAAGAAAUAUUUAAGUUACACCACUACUUCACCACUGCAAGAGUAGGUAUAGCUCAGAAGACAUUCCACUAAUUCCAGCAUCUCUUUUUAACAUCAGUGAUCCUUUAACCUAGCUCAAAUUCAUAGAUAAAGAAUAACUAAAGACCACAUUGACUAGUGCAAGUUAAAUGUAAGAGUUUUCCAACUCACAACAGAAGGUUGUUUACAAAAGAAAAUUUGAGAAAAUAUACAAACACUAGCUCAUAGAUUCUAGGAAAGUGGACUACUGUUCUGUGCUUGUUGCAAAUUAGGUGUUGUUAGUAAGCAACCUUAUUGAUGGUGGUUUUUGGGAAUGGCCAAAUAGCCACCUAACUCAAACUCACAAGUAAAGCCAUGUUCAUACUGAAAAUACAAGGAAGAGAAUUGGAACUAUGAGUGAAAACUGAGUAUACAACUGAUCAGACUUCACAAUCAUUGCUCACACUGAAGAGAGAACUCUUGGACAUUGUAUUUGAAAGAACUGUGGCCAUUGUUCUUCAUUUAGCUGAACAGAACCUACCGUUUCAUGGAUCCAUGGAAAAAACUUACCAAGUGUGGAAAUGGAAACAUCUUAGGCCAAGUUAAGUAAGUGGCUAAAUUUGAGCUUGUGAUGAAAGAACAUGUAAGAUAAUUUUUCACUAAAAAACACCAUUACUUAAGCCCUACCCUAAAACAUAUUUUGUAUUGAUCUCUGAAAGGUAACAGGUACAAUUAACAAACAAGAUGAAGAAUCCUUUAUUUUGGAUUGCACAUCUGAGAUAAGUCACAAGAAACAAAUAUCUGCCAGUUUGAGAUACCUCUUUUGGAUCUUAAUAUAUCACCAUUGAAGAGCACUUCCUAUAUUUUAGGAGUUAUCUAGACAUGGUGUGACAGAUGCUAUAUACAGGGGACAAGGAUAUGACAAUGGAUCUAACAUGAGAGGACAGCACUAGGGUGCGCAAGCUCAUUUAAUUCAAAAGAAUAAAAAAGGCAUUUUUCCUCUGUGAGGAUGCCAUUCCUUAAAUCUAGUGUUGAGUGACACAGCUAACUUCUCAAACUGGUCAAAACUUUUUUUCAAGUGUUCUUUAAUGAAUGCACACUAUAUUUGCAGCUUCAGCCAGAAGGUGGAGAGUUUUGAAAUCCAAUGUGAAAACAUUAAGGUCUCUCCAAACACAAGAUGAGGGAGCAAACUUGAACGUGUCAGUACUUUGCAGUUUCAGAUGGAGUGCACACAAUCAGCGCUGUAGAAAUUGAGAGAAAUGACAAGAAAUAAUGGGGAACAGGAAGAAACCAGAUCACUGGCCGAUGAAUUCUCAUUUAAGUUCAUUAUCUCACUUGUGGUUUGGCACAACUUAAUGUUCAAAAUUAUUAUAGUAGGCAAAAAAUGUCAGAACACAGUGCUUGGUCUUGAUGUCAGCAAAUUAGUUGAAGCUACUCAGCCAAAUACAGAAUUAACAUGAAAAUAGAGUUGAAGAGGUGUUAAUUGCUAAAACAUACAGAAGAAAUGUCAGUGCCUGCAAAACUAACUGAAAUGAGUCCACAGAAAAUAAAUUGCUCAGGUACAAAGCAGAGGAUCAAGUUGUUGGCAAUGCAGAAGAGAUUUCAAUUUAACUUCUUCACUACUGUGACAGACACUGGCGAGGCUGCUCUCAUGAGCUUGGGAUAAUGUUUUGAAUUAUUGCACGAACACAUGGAUGUGUUUGGAUUUGUAUGUGAUGUGAAAAACAUGGCAAACUUUUUUCCUAACAAGUGAAUUGAACAAAUUGUGCAGUAACCUGGAAUCAGCUCUGACAAGUUCUGAAGACAAUAUUGGGAAUGUAGAUGUGUGCAACCUGGUACAUGAACUCCAGAGUCUUUCUGGGGUUUUGCUGAAAUCUGUUGAUGCACUUGAGUCACUUUCAUUCAUUUUCAGCAGGAAUUUGACCCUGAUGUACCCAAACACGUGUAUUGUUCCAUAAGUGUUUCUCACAGCUCCAGUGUCCAUAGCAUUUGCAGAAAGAAGUUUCUCAAAGCUUAAGUUAAUAAAAACUUAUGCGGUCUAUUGUGUCUCUGUGGACUGCCUACAUUGUCCACAGAAAGUGACAUUUGCAACACACUUCAAGGAUGUGACAGAAGAAUUCAUCAAUAAGCACUCCAUUACUCAGAAUGAACAAGAUAUUGCAGGUUUAUUCUUUUGGAUCAUUGGACUACAAAGCUGACUGAUUUCCUGGAUGUGUCAAAACUUCUUCAGUUUCAUUUGAUCUGGCAAUGGGAAUUUCAUUUCUCAGCUGUUAUUUUGCCUCUCACUCCAUUGUUACUGCUUUUUCACAUUUCACUACUUGUGUGUAGAAUUUAGUAUACUACCCUUUGUGAAUAUUUGGAAACCAUCUCAUAUGAAAUCUUUCUCAAAUGCAAAUUUCUUUAAUUUUUAAUGAAAGUAGAUCUACAACCACCAGACUUCAAAAAUCAUGAAUUAUAUAACUAAAAAUUACAUGAAAUGAGUUUUUUAUUUUGCCUUUUUUCCCUGAGCCUUUAUACUAGGCUGAGAACUACAAAAGUAUUUAGGCUCCUAACUUCUCCUGAUUUCAACAGAAGUUAGGAGCCUAAAUACUUUUGUGGAUCUGGGCCUAACUUCAGUUUUUUGCUGUUACCACUCCCACAGAAUCCAUAUAUAGCGGAACGCCAGUUAUCCAAUCUAACUGGUCCAGAUCGGAUAAUCAAAAAUUCAGAUAAUGGGAAAGUGCAAGGCUGCGGCGCCAUCUAGUGAGACUACCUGUUUGGUUAAUACAGAGAGCCAGAUAAACAGCGUUCUUACUGUACCUAAAAUACUGUUCUGGACUGUCUGCUUAAUUGAAAGUUUACUUUAAAAAAUUCUGAUUUCUGUAAGUAAUUUUCCUCAGUAUGCAAACAGUGCAGCAUAUGCUUUACUCCUACUACAUCAUUUUCUGCAUACAUAGAUAGUGAUAUUUCUACAGUUAUUUAUAUGUUUAAUUGCAUACUGUACUGGUUUAGUCUUAUGCAUGAUACAUAUCUUUGCUGUGAUACAUUUCAGUGGUGUUCUUCAUAUUGAAAAGUUUUUGUACUGCCAAUCACAGAGUUCAGGAUGUGGAAGGAGACACAGUAAGCAGGAUUUGUUUAGAACAGAUUUAAAAAUAAAUGAUCACCGACAUAUUGAAAAGUUUGAUUUGUACAAUCUCUUACCCACUUUCUAGAAUGUAAGAAAUACCACCCAAUUAAACAAAUGCAGAAAAGAUAGCGAUGAACAUUUAAAAGUCCACAGACUGGUCUAUAUGCAGCUCACCAGCUGCACAGAACUGGUAGGUCACAGGGUCUUUCAGUUGUUAAAUUGCAUUUAUACCUAAAAUACAUGGCUUACGUGGAUAAUUACUUUAAAAAACAAACAGAUGCUUUAGUUGCCAUAAAAUGCAGGGUGUUUUACACAUUAACUCAGAGGAUACUGUGAGGAAGAACUGCCUACCUAGGGAGCUUUACGCUGUGCCUUCCAGAUCCAGGUGCUGUCAUAUGCCCACACUGCUCCACCGGAAGCAGAGAGGGAGCCCGAACUGAGAGCAGCCACUUGGAUACCUGGAUCUGAAGGGAGAUGCUGCCCUUUCCCAAGCCUAGCGGAGGGUCAAGGUUAAAAAAGCCCAUCAGCUUGACUAAAGAGAGGGGUUCCUUCCUUCUCCAAUCCCAACGAGAGGAGGGAGGCAGCAAAAUCAAGGAGCUUCGGUUAACAGUGGUAGUUUGAGCUCUGCGGGAGGGAUUCCUCAAAUCUUGGAACAUAGAGAAAGAGAAGCAGGAUAUGCACCAGGAAACCCCAUAGGGAGCUAUGCUCCCCAACUGCAAGCAAGGGGGAAGAAAAGCUCUGGUUGCUUGGGCUGGCUGGGAGGAAACACACCUGGAGGGAAGCCUCUUUCACUUUGACCCCAUAGGAAACCACAAAGAUGAUGAAAAUUCUUAGGGGGGUUUGUUUUGAGCAGACACUUGCCUCACAAAGCUUCUCUUGGUCAAAAGGUAGGUCCUCAACCUCAGUUUGGAGUUUAAGUAUGCCAGAGGAUUGUAACCAGGAUGGCUGGCACAUGACUAUGGCUGUGGCCGUGGUUCUGGCUGCCAUGUCCACAACAUCCAAAGAUGCUUGGAGGGCUGUUUUAGCUAUGAGUUGACCCUCAUUUACAGUGGCUUAGAAUUGUGACUGUUUCUCUUGGGGGAGCUCUGCUGUGAACAAGCAGAGUUUCCCAUAAUUAUCAUAACUGUAUUUUGCCAGUAAGGCUGAGUAGUUGGCGACUCAGAAUUGUAUUGUCACCAAGGAGUAUAUUUUUUGUCUGAAGAGAUCUAGCCUAUUGUGUUCUUUGUCAUAUGGGGUCGAUUGAAACUGUAGUUGUUUGCCAUGCUGAUUAUAUCAGUAUCGACCAUGAAAGAGUUGGGAGGCAGGUGCGAGAUGAGAAAAUCCAUCCCUUUGGUGGGGAUAUAAUACUUUCUAUCCAACCUUCCGCAUGUCAGUGGAAUUCAGGCUGGUGUCUGCCAGACUGUCUCCGCUGCUUCUAAGAUCGCAUCAUCAAUGGGCCGAGUGAUUUUGAAAGUAGAUGCAAGUUGCAAGAUUUGUACUAGCUUCUAUUGGUUUGCAUGCACUUCCUCCAACAGAAUGUCCUGGCUUCAGCCGACUCACUUAAACAGUUCCAGGAACUGUCUGAAGUAAUCUGCCAAGGUAGGUGGUGGCGGCAUGAUUCCCUUAUCCGGGGAGGAGGAAAAAUUGUGAGCAGAUGUCGCUUCCAGAUCAGUGGCUGUUUCUGUGUUAUCCCCAACAUGCUGAGCCUCCGUUGGCUGCAGAGUGGGAGAGAUGGGAUAAGACCUCAGCUCGCCUCUCUGAGCUGCGGGUAGCCUGGAGUGGGGACCCUGGUAAGUUGCCCAUGGUUCCCAAUGUGCCCACUGCAUUGUGAAGGCCAUCGAUGAAUAUAUCCACAGUGGUCCAUACCAUGGUUGAGCCAGCUGAUAAGGGUAUUUAGGACCCAUCUGGCUCCAGGUUGGUUGUCGGUCUUUCAGUGAUGUCGUGUGGCGAGAAAGUGCAUGGUUCCUGCACAUCACUGGACAAGUGUACCACAUCAUGAGAAGUAUGGGGAUCUCCUCUAACUUACAGGAGAGCCCUCAGUACCAAGUAGUGGGGACUGCAGAGCCAGUGACACAGCCAAGUCUCUGUUGCAGUAGAUUCUCUGGCAGUUCUGAUGUCUGUGCCGUUGGUGCCAAUGGGGAUGCUCGUCGAUGCCCUCAGAUGUGCUGUUGAUGUUUUCAGUGUGGUCAGUGUCAACUCGGUUUUCUCAACUGGUGCCAACUGCAGUGUCGGUGCCAGGGGCGGAGACAUAGGGCCUGAGGAUCCCUUAAGGGUGAAUUCAGUGCCAUGGAGGAGGCACGUUGCCAUCUGUGCCUCAACUCAGCCUUCUUUGCUUGGGACUCAGCAGUGCAGGAAGUGCCCGGAGCAUCACAGGUGCUCACCUGAGCCUGUGUCGGCAUCAGAGAUAGCGACCUAGCAGGAGACUGUCUGUUUCCACAGUGCUCUCUGCAGAGACAUCUGCACCCUUUUUCUCAGUCUUUUUGAGGAAGGCAUGUCUCUUGUUCCUGUGGGGUGGUGCCAAGAGAGGAGGGCCAUUGAUCUGGCUGUGGUUGGAGAGAUUUCUCCAUCAUUAUCAUUUUCAAGUGGAGAUCCUGGUCACGCUGGGAUCUUGCUUUCAGAUUACUGCAGUGGGUGCAUUUUUGCGGGAUAUGCAUCUCCCCAAGACAUCGGACUCACGAAGAGUGUCCGUCCAAAACAGACAUUGCUUCAUGGCAAGAGUCGCAUCAGUUAAAGUCUGGGGAGCCAAACAUCUCUGACAUUAACCAACCUUGGUGGGAGGAGGGUAAACUGUUUAAAUAAACUCCCCCCCCCCCAAAACUAGCACCAACACUAUACGUUUUUAAAGACUAUUUAAACUGCUCUCUUUUAAAAAAAUUUGGCAAGAAUAAUGAACUCGCCCCUGAGCGCCAUCUUUGGUCAAGGAUGGUUGAGAAGGAACUGAAGGGCUCGGGUCCUGCACGCGGAGAUGCAACACCAAGACACCUAACUGCACGCGUGACCCGCGCAGACACUACUGUAAAUCUCCAAUCAACAGCACCAGGACACACCCACAGGAACAGCAUUCGAAGAAUCAGGUUUCUGCCAGAGGCACAACAGCAGCAGAUCUGGCUUCCACUCUUGAACCUGUUACUGAUUUCCUGCAGAAGUUUAGCCAAGUCAUAGCAAUUACCUUUCAAUAGAGCAGGGGUAGGCAACCCAUGGCACGUGUGCCAAAGGCGGCACGCAAGCUGAUUUUCAGCAGCACUC
Molecule: long non-coding RNA, 6620 nt
Organism: Gopherus evgoodei (Goodes thornscrub tortoise)
Lineage: Eukaryota; Metazoa; Chordata; Testudines; Testudinidae
Exons: 3
Source: RefSeq, a predicted model, not a curated record